UACAGGGGGUGCAAACGUUGCUCGGAAUUAUUGGGCGUAAAGCGCGCGUAGGCGGCUAUUUAAGUCGGAUGUGAAAGCCCUUGGCUCAACUGAGGAAGUGCACCCGAAACUGAAUGGCUUGAGUACCAAAGAGGGUCGCGGAAUUCCCGGUGUAGAGGUGAAAUUCGUAGAUAUCGGGAGGAACACCGGUGGCGAAGGCGGCGACCUGGGUGGAUACUGACGCUGAGGCG
Molecule: ribosomal RNA, 230 nt
Filed under: uncultured bacterium
Lineage: Bacteria
Description: partial 16S ribosomal RNA
Rfam family: Bacterial small subunit ribosomal RNA
Source: RNAcentral